RNAcentral lists this ribosomal RNA (253 nucleotides) under uncultured bacterium. Its description in RNAcentral is "partial 16S ribosomal RNA". It matches the Rfam family "Bacterial small subunit ribosomal RNA", at positions 524 to 776 of the family's 1533-position model. The record is from RNAcentral.
UACGAAGGGGGCUAGCGUUGCUCGGAAUGACUGGGCGUAAAGCGUGCGUAGGCGGUUCGUUAAGUGCGUCGUGAAAGCCCCGGGCUCAACCUGGGAAUGGCGAUGGAAACUGGCGGGCUGGAGUAUGGCAGAGGGGGGUGGAAUUCCGCGUGUAGCAGUGAAAUGCGUAGAGAUGUGGAGGAACACCGAUGGCGAAGGCAGCCCCCUGGGCUAACACUGACGCUCAUGCACGAAAGCGUGGGGAGCAAACAGG